Non-coding RNA from Clostridium sp. CAG:451, 31 nucleotides. The record is from Rfam. NCBI's taxonomy places the organism in Bacteria, Bacillati, Bacillota, Clostridia, Eubacteriales, Clostridiaceae.
CUAUGAUAUGAAUUUAUCAUGGCGGAAGGAG